GUGAAGGAGCGGGGGGGGUAACGCAAAUUGCACUCUCCUUUUUUCCGGUAUAUUAUUCCUGUUUGAGUGUCAGCCUAAAAAAAAUCGACAUUGUUUCUUUUUUAUUUUUACUUUCGUCGGAGAUGGGUUAUCUUAAAUCUCGGUUUAAGCGACUUAAAAAUUUUUUUUACGAUUCUAAGAAUGUUUCUAAGAUUUUUCUUGUACGUUUAAUUUAUCGAAUUUCUUAUUAGACUUGGCCGUCCUAUCGGAUCGUGUCCAUAAUUUUUUUCUUUAACUGACCUCAGACAGGUAAGAGUACCCG
RNAcentral lists this unclassified non-coding RNA (301 nucleotides) under Glomeraceae sp. Its description in RNAcentral is "partial internal transcribed spacer 2". Lineage: Eukaryota; Fungi; Glomeromycota; Glomeromycetes; Glomerales; Glomeraceae. The record is from RNAcentral.